Molecule: ribosomal RNA, 468 nt
Filed under: uncultured bacterium
Lineage: Bacteria
Description: partial 16S ribosomal RNA
Rfam family: Bacterial small subunit ribosomal RNA
Source: RNAcentral
GACGAACGCUGGCGGCGUGCUUAACACAUGCAAGUCGAACGGAAAGGCCCUGCUUUUGUGGGGUUCUCGAUUGGCGAACGGGUGAGUAACACGUGAGUAACCUGCCCUUGACUUUGUUAUAUCUUCAGGAAACUGGGGCUAAUACCGGAUAUGAUCUCCUGCUGCAUGGUGGGGGUUGGAAAGUUUCGGCGUUUGGGGAUGGACUCGCGGCUUAUCAGCUUGUUGGUGUGGUAGUGGCUUACCAAGGCUUUGACGGGUAGCCGGCAUGAGAGGGUGACCGGACACAUUGGGACUGAGAUACGGACCAGAAUGCAACGGGAGGCAGCAGUGGGGAAUAUUGCACAAUGGGCGGAAGCCUGAUGCAGAAACGCAGCGUGCGGGAUGACGGCCUUCGGGUUGUAAAAAGCUGUCGCAUGUGACGAAGAGUGAGUGACGGUAAUGGGUAAAGAAGCACCGGCUAACUACGUG